Long non-coding RNA from Oncorhynchus nerka (sockeye salmon), 665 nucleotides. RefSeq lists it as uncharacterized. The record is from RefSeq and is a predicted model, not a curated record. Lineage: Eukaryota; Metazoa; Chordata; Actinopteri; Salmoniformes; Salmonidae. The transcript has 2 exons.
CUGACAUUACAACAAGUCCUGCACUAACCUGACUAUCACUGAACAAUGAGGACUGUCUGGAGUUUAGUUGUCAUAUACAGUAAGUUAAACAUUACAAUGAGCCCUGCGCUAACUAAUACUGAACAAUGGAACUGAUGAGCCUCUGGAGUUUAGUUGUCAUGGUGAUGUCCAUAGACAGUAAGGUGUUUGUUGUGAUGUCAGACUGGAUCAGUCAAGGAGACUAAAAAAAUUAUCAUGAAAAACAUCUGGAUUUACAACGACAGACUAUUAUAUAAACUGGAUGAGGCAGCAACCAGGAAAAAGACUAGAGUUGAUUGGUAUAAUUAUGGUUCAGGCUCUGCUACCUGCUCAGACUGCCUGAAAGGCUGGUUCACCCUGACUUAGGAUGUCUCCAAAAACACACAGUUCUUAGAGGCCAAGAUUCUGAGAGCAAAGGACUCUGAUGUUUGUUAUUGUGCUGGACAGACACAGUGACUGGAGCUGGUGAAGCAGCUGUACAAAACCCUCAGCUCCAGUCUCUGUUAACAUCAAUCCCAUGGCCCCACCAACACUAUGGGAUGGAGUAAACACAUCCUACUGUAAAUUAUAACCCAAAUAUUAAAAAUAUAUGUAUAACUUGAAAAGCAUUAAAUAUUCCUGACAACCUGUCAAGAUAACUGUAUGAA